CGCGCAGGUGGUUGAUUAAGUCUGAUGUGAAAGCCCACGGCUUAACCGUGGAGGGUCAUUGGAAACUGGUCAACUUGAGUGCAGAAGAGGGAAGUGGAAUUCCAUGUGUAGCGGUGAAAUGCGUAGAGAUAUGGAGGAACACCAGUGGCGAAGGCGGCUUCCUGGUCUGUAACUGACACUGAGGCGCGAAAGCGUGGGGAGCAAACAG
This 208-nucleotide ribosomal RNA is filed under the name uncultured Turicibacter sp. RNAcentral describes it as "partial 16S ribosomal RNA". It matches the Rfam family "Bacterial small subunit ribosomal RNA", at positions 568 to 775 of the family's 1533-position model. Lineage: Bacteria; Bacillati; Bacillota; Erysipelotrichia; Erysipelotrichales; Turicibacteraceae. The record is from RNAcentral.